This 400-nucleotide ribosomal RNA is filed under the name uncultured bacterium. RNAcentral describes it as "bacterial SSU rRNA". It matches the Rfam family "Bacterial small subunit ribosomal RNA", at positions 355 to 769 of the family's 1533-position model. The record is from RNAcentral.
UCGAGAAUCUUCCGCAAUGGACGAAAGUCUGACGGAGCGACGCCGCGUGGUGGAUGAAGUCCCUCGGGACGUAAACACCUUUUAUGAGGGAAGAAGUUAUUGACAUUACCUCAUGAAUAAGGGGCUCCUAACUCUGUGCCAGCAGGAGCGGUAAUACAGAGGCCCCAAGCAUUAUCCGGAUUUACUGGGCGUAAAGGGUGCGUAGGCGGUGCGAUUAGUCAGGUGUUAAAUCCUCGGGCUCAACCCGAGAACCGCAUUUGAAACGGUCGCACUAGAAGAAGUCAGAGGCAAGCAGAACUCACGGUGUAGGGGUGAAAUCCGUUGAUAUCGUGGGGAAUACCAAAUGCGAAGGCAGCUUGCUGGGACUUUCUUGACGCUAAGGCACGAAAGCGUGGGUAGC